RNAcentral lists this RNase P RNA (381 nucleotides) under Klebsiella aerogenes. Its description in RNAcentral is "RNase P RNA component class A". It matches the Rfam family "Bacterial RNase P class A". Rfam says of the family: Ribonuclease P (RNase P) is a ubiquitous endoribonuclease, found in archaea, bacteria and eukarya as well as chloroplasts and mitochondria. Its best characterised activity is the generation of mature 5'-ends of tRNAs by cleaving the 5'-leader elements of precursor-tRNAs. Cellular RNase Ps are ribonucleoproteins. Lineage: Bacteria; Pseudomonadati; Pseudomonadota; Gammaproteobacteria; Enterobacterales; Enterobacteriaceae. The record is from RNAcentral.
GAAGCUGACCAGACAGUCGCCGCUUCGUCGUCGUCCUCUUUGGGGGAGACGGGCGGAGGGGAGGAAAGUCCGGGCUCCAUAGGGCAAGGUGCCAGGUAACGCCUGGGGGGUGUCACAGCCCACGACCAGUGCAACAGAGAGCAAACCGCCGAUGGCCCGCGCAAGCGGGAUCAGGUAAGGGUGAAAGGGUGCGGUAAGAGCGCACCGCGCGGCUGGUAACAGUCCGCGGCACGGUAAACUCCACCCGGAGCAAGGCCAAAUAGGGGUUCAUAAGGUACGGCCCGUACUGAACCCGGGUAGGCUGCUUGAGCCAGUGAGCGAUUGCUGGCCUAGAUGAAUGACUGUCCACGACAGAACCCGGCUUAUCGGUCAGUUUCACCU